CUGUUCGUUCUGCUGAUUGCUUAUGAUUCGACUCGCAGUGGCGGUAGCUGGGAGAGCUUGGGACUGGCCAGACGCGACCAACUCACCACUGUAAUAAGACGACUUUUAUACAUAGCUGACAGUACGCAACCUCAGUUCAGGCGCAAGGUAAUUGUUUUGCAUGUCUAUGACGAGCAUCGUCACUUUUGGACCACGAAUCUUUUUGUGUACUGA
RNAcentral lists this unclassified non-coding RNA (213 nucleotides) under Zea mays. RNAcentral describes it as "misc RNA Zm00001eb189320". Lineage: Eukaryota; Viridiplantae; Streptophyta; Magnoliopsida; Poales; Poaceae. The record is from RNAcentral.